Molecule: non-coding RNA, 108 nt
Organism: Morchella snyderi
Lineage: Eukaryota; Fungi; Ascomycota; Pezizomycetes; Pezizales; Morchellaceae
Source: the annotation of a GenBank genome assembly
GUCUUCAUGGCUUAGUUGGUUAAAGCGUCGGUCUCAUAUCUCACAAUAUGACUGGGUCUCUUAGAUCUGGAUAUCCGAAGGUCGCGAGUUCGACUCUCGCUGAGGACA